RNAcentral lists this transfer RNA (65 nucleotides) under Dipodomys ordii (Ord's kangaroo rat). It matches the Rfam family "tRNA". Rfam says of the family: Transfer RNA (tRNA) molecules are approximately 80 nucleotides in length. Their secondary structure includes four short double-helical elements and three loops (D, anti-codon, and T loops). The record is from Rfam by way of RNAcentral. Lineage: Eukaryota; Metazoa; Chordata; Mammalia; Rodentia; Heteromyidae.
GGUGGCUCAUUGGUAGAGCACUUGCCUUGUAAACAUGAGGCCCUGGGUUCCAUUCCUCAGCACCA